GACGAACGCUGGCGGCGUGCUUAACACAUGCAAGUCGAACGGAAAGGCCCUGCUUUUGUGGGGUGCUCGAGUGGCGAACGGGUGAGUAACACGUGAGUAACCUGCCCUUGACUUUGGGAUAACUUCAGGAAACUGGGGCUAAUACCGGAUAGGAGCUCCUGCUGCAUGGUGGGGGUUGGAAAGUUUCGGCGGUUGGGGAUGGACUCGCGGCUUAUCAGCUUGUUGGUGGGGUAGUGGCUUACCAAGGCUUUGACGGGUAGCCGGCCUGAGAGGGUGACCGGCCACAUUGGGACUGGGAACGGGCCCAGACUCCUUCGGGAGGAAGGGGUGGGAAAUAUGGCAAAAGGGGCGGAAGCCGGGUGCAGAAACGCCGGGGGGGGGAAGACGGCCUUGGGGUUGGAAACCGUUUUCGCCUGGGACGAAGGGUGGGGGCGGGAAAUGGGAAAAAAAGCCCCGGUUAACUACGG
This 467-nucleotide ribosomal RNA is filed under the name uncultured bacterium. Its description in RNAcentral is "partial 16S ribosomal RNA". It matches the Rfam family "Bacterial small subunit ribosomal RNA", at positions 28 to 506 of the family's 1533-position model. The record is from RNAcentral.